UUGUAUAUCAACCUCUUCAACCUUUGGCUUGUUGAGUGUUGGAUGUGGGGGGUUUUGCUGGUUUCUCUCUUGAGGUCAGCUCUCCUGAAAUGCAUUAGUUGAACAAUUUGCAGACCUUGUUCAUUGGUGUGAUAAUUAUCUACGCUAUUAACAACAAAGCAAGCUCAGCUUCUAACAGUCCAUUGACUUGGACAAUAUCUAUAUCAA
This 207-nucleotide unclassified non-coding RNA is filed under the name uncultured Cortinarius. RNAcentral's name for it is "sequence contains ITS2". Lineage: Eukaryota; Fungi; Basidiomycota; Agaricomycetes; Agaricales; Cortinariaceae. The record is from RNAcentral.